Acaromyces ingoldii is the source of this 103-nucleotide non-coding RNA. Lineage: Eukaryota; Fungi; Basidiomycota; Exobasidiomycetes; Exobasidiales; Cryptobasidiaceae. The record is from the annotation of a RefSeq genome assembly.
GGUCCAGUAGUAUAGCGGUAGAAUUCUCGCUUAGGGAUUGGCAUUGUCCUCCCAAGUGAUUGCGCGGUUGCGUGCGGCCCGGGUUCGAGUCCCGGCUGGACCC